GUUAAUCUCGCUAAACAAGGCAUCUUAUGCCAGACCAUAAGAUGACUUUCGCCAGCCCAAAAUCUGGGUGUCAAUCUCGUAAAACAAGGCAUCUUGUGCCAAGCCACAAGAUGAGUUUCACCAAGCCACAAUCCAGGUGUUAGUCCAACUAAAUAAAGUAUCUUAUGCCAGGCCACAAGGCAAGUUCUGCUAGGCCAAAAUUCGGGUGUCAAUUCUGCUAAACAAGGCAUCUUAUGCCAGGCGACAAUCUGGGUG
Molecule: long non-coding RNA, 255 nt
Filed under: Manihot esculenta (cassava)
Lineage: Eukaryota; Viridiplantae; Streptophyta; Magnoliopsida; Malpighiales; Euphorbiaceae
Description: long non-coding RNA (MESC_LNC002298)
Source: RNAcentral